UGCAAGUCGAGCGGACAGAUGGGAGCUUGCUCCCUGAUGUUAGCGGCGGACGGGUGAGUAACACGUGGGUAACCUGCCUGUAAGACUGGGAUAACUCCGGGAAACCGGGGCUAAUACCGGAUGCUUGUUUGAACCGCAUGGUUCAAACAUAAAAGGUGGCUUCGGCUACCACUUACAGAUGGACCCGCGGCGCAUUAGCUAGUUGGUGAGGUAAUGGCUCACCAAGGCAACGAUGCGUAGCCGACCUGAGAGGGUGAUCGGCCACACUGGGACUGAGACACGGCCCAGACUCCUACGGGAGGCAGCAGUAGGGAAUCUUCCGCAAUGGACGAAAGUCUGACGGAGCAACGCCGCGUGAGUGAUGAAGGUUUUCGGAUCGUAAAGCUCUGUUGUUAGGGAAGAACAAGUGCCGUUCAAAUAGGGCGGCACCUUGACGGUACCUAACCAGAAAGCCACGGCUAACUACGUGCCAGCAGCCGCGGUAAUACGUAGGUGGCAAGCGUUGUCCGGAAUUAUUGGGCGUAAAGGGCUCGCAGGCGGUUUCUUAAGUCUGAUGUGAAAGCCCCCGGCUCAACCGGGGAGGGUCAUUGGAAACUGGGGAACUUGAGUGCAGAAGAGGAGAGUGGAAUUCCACGUGUAGCGGUGAAAUGCGUAGAGAUGUGGAGGAACACCAGUGGCGAAGGCGACUCUCUGGUCUGUAACUGACGCUGAGGAGCGAAAGCGUGGGGAGCGAACAGGAUUAGAUACCCUGGUAGUCCACGCCGUAAACGAUGAGUGCUAAGUGUUAGGGGGUUUCCGCCCCUUAGUGCUGCAGCUAACGCAUUAAGCACUCCGCCUGGGGGAGUACGGUCGCAAGACUGAAACUCAAAGGAAUUGACGGGGGCCCGCAC
This 890-nucleotide ribosomal RNA is filed under the name Bacillus sp. (in: firmicutes). RNAcentral describes it as "bacterial SSU rRNA". It matches the Rfam family "Bacterial small subunit ribosomal RNA", at positions 56 to 926 of the family's 1533-position model. The record is from RNAcentral. RNAcentral also lists the same sequence under 1 other name. Lineage: Bacteria; Bacillati; Bacillota; Bacilli; Caryophanales; Bacillaceae.